Molecule: ribosomal RNA, 506 nt
Filed under: uncultured bacterium
Lineage: Bacteria
Description: partial 16S ribosomal RNA
Rfam family: Bacterial small subunit ribosomal RNA
Source: RNAcentral
AGUGAACGCUGGCGGUAGGCCUAGCACAUGCAAGUCGAACGGCAGCACAGGAGAGCUUGCUCUCUGGGUGGCGAGUGGCGGACGGGUGAGGAAUACAUCGGAAUCUACCUUUUCGUGGGGGAUAACGUAGGGAAACUUACGCUAAUACCGCAUACGACCUACGGGUGAAAGUGGGGGACCGCAAGGCCUCACGCGAUUAGAUGAGCCGAUGUCCGAUUAGCUAGUUGGCGGGGUAAUGGCCCACCAAGGCGACGAUCGGUAGCUGGUCUGAGAGGAUGAUCAGCCACACUGGAACUGAGACCCGGUCCAGACUCCUACGGGAGGCAGCAGUGGGGAAUAUUGGACAAUGGGCGCAAGCCUGAUCCAGCCAUACCGCGUGGGUGAAGAAGGCCUUCGGGUUGUAAAGCCCUUUUGUUGGGAAAGAAAUCCUGUCGAUUAAUACUCGGUGGGGAUGACGGUACCCAAAGAAUAAGCACCGGCUAACUUCGUGCCAGCCGCCGCCGUAA